Molecule: long non-coding RNA, 307 nt
Filed under: Manihot esculenta (cassava)
Lineage: Eukaryota; Viridiplantae; Streptophyta; Magnoliopsida; Malpighiales; Euphorbiaceae
Description: long non-coding RNA (MESC_LNC012355)
Source: RNAcentral
ACAUGGAUUUGCUUUGAUUCUAAUUAGCUGUAAAAGCUGAGGCAACAAGGGAAAAGCAAAUAGAUAGAUAGAUGAUAAGAAGAGAAGGAAGAGGGACAUUUUGUUUUGGGCUGAGAAAUUAUUUGAUCCCUCGUUGGACUUAGCUUUUGUCUUCUGAAACACAUGUCAUCCAAGAAAUUAAAGCUGAGAUGCCAAAACCACAACCAACUCAUCAGAAUGAUUUGGUAAUAAUAACAGUGUGCCAUACCACCACCAACCAAUCAUAUGAUUUUAUGAUGGUGUUGUGUCUCCUGUCAAGAUCCACCUC